UAGGGAAUAUUGCAUAAUGGGCGAAAGCCUGAUGCAGCAACGCCGCGUGUGCGAUGAAGGCCUUCGGGUCGUAAAGCACUUUUUGAGAGGAUGAGGAAGGACAGUACUCUCAGAAUAAGCCUCGGCUAACUACGUGCCAGCAGCCGCGGUAAAACGUAGGAGGCGAGCGUUAUCCGGAUUUAAUGGGCGUAAAGCGCGUGCAGGCGGUAAGGAAAGUUGGAUGUGAAAGCUCCUGGCUUAACUGGGAGAGGUCGUUCAAAACUACCUAACGAGAGUGUGGGAGAGGGAGGCGGAAUUGCGUGUGGAGUGGUGAAAUGCGUAGAUAUCCGGAGGAACACCAGUGGCGAAAGCGGCCUCCUGGCCCAAGACUGACGCUCAGACGCGAAGGCUAGGGUAGCAAACG
This 403-nucleotide ribosomal RNA is filed under the name uncultured bacterium. RNAcentral's name for it is "bacterial SSU rRNA". It matches the Rfam family "Bacterial small subunit ribosomal RNA", at positions 355 to 774 of the family's 1533-position model. The record is from RNAcentral.